Molecule: ribosomal RNA, 486 nt
Filed under: uncultured bacterium
Lineage: Bacteria
Description: bacterial SSU rRNA
Rfam family: Bacterial small subunit ribosomal RNA
Source: RNAcentral
GGCUCAGGAUGAACGCUAGCGGCAGGCUUAACACAUGCAAGUCGAGGGGGUAUAGUUCUUCGGAGCUAGAGACCGGCGCACGGGUGCGUAACGCGUAUGCAAUCUACCUUUUACAGAGGGAUAGCCCAGAGAAAUUUGGAUUAAUACCUCAUAGUAUGUGAGAAUCGCAUGGUUUUCACAUUAAAGUCACAACGGUAAAAGAUGAGCAUGCGUCCCAUUAGCUUGUUGGUAAGGUAACGGCUUACCAAGGCAACGAUGGGUAGGGGUCCUGAGAGGGAGAUCCCCCACACUGGUACUGAGACACGGACCAGACUCCUACGGGAGGCAGCAGUGAGGAAUAUUGGACAAUGGGCGCAAGCCUGAUCCAGCCAUGCCGCGUGCAGGAUGACGGUCCUAUGGAUUGUAAACUGCUUUUGUACAGGAAGAAACACUCCCUCGUGAGGGAGCUUGACGGUACUGUAAGAAUAAGGAUCGGCUAACUCCGUG